CCUACGGGCGGCAGCAGUGAGGAAUAUUGGUCAAUGGGCGCGAGCCUGAACCAGCCAGGUCGCGUGAGGGAAGACGGUCCUAUGGAUUGUAAACCUCUUUUGUCGGGGAGCAAAAGACGCCACGCGUGGCGUUCCGCGCGUACCCGAAGAAAAAGCAUCGGCUAACUCCGUGCCAGCAGCCGCGGUAAUACGGAGGAUGCGAGCGUUAUCCGGAUUUAUUGGGUUUAAAGGGUGCGCAGGCGGAAGAUCAAGUCAGCGGUAAAAUUGAGAGGCUCAACCUCUUCGAGCCGUUGAAACUGGUUUUCUUGAGUGAGUGAGAAGUAUGCGGAAUGCGUGGUGUAGCGGUGAAAUGCAUAGAUAUCACGCAGAACUCCGAUUGCGAAGGCAGCAUACCGGCGCUCAACUGACGCUCAUGCACGAAAGUGUGGGUAUCGAACAGGAUUAGAUACCCCUGUAGUC
RNAcentral lists this ribosomal RNA (459 nucleotides) under uncultured bacterium. Its description in RNAcentral is "partial 16S ribosomal RNA". It matches the Rfam family "Bacterial small subunit ribosomal RNA", at positions 338 to 795 of the family's 1533-position model. The record is from RNAcentral.